CGGGAGUUUGGGGUUACGAUGACGGGGGUCAAGCUAU
Molecule: transfer RNA, 37 nt
Filed under: Partenskyella glossopodia
Lineage: Eukaryota; Cercozoa; Chlorarachniophyceae
Description: partial Selenocysteine transfer RNA
Source: RNAcentral